GAAUUUUGGACAAUGGGCGCAAGCCUGAUCCAGCCAUUCCGCGUGCAGGAUGAAGGCCCUCGGGUUGUAAACUGCUUUUGUACGGAACGAAAAACCUUCCUCUAAUACAGGAGGGCCAUGACGGUACCGUAAGAAUAAGCACCGGCUAACUACGUGCCAGCAGCCGCGGUAAUACGUAGGGUGUAAGCGUUAAUCGGAAUUACUGGGCGUAAAGCGUGCGCAGGCGGUUAUGUAAGACAGAUGUGAAAUCCCCGGGCUCAACCUGGGAACUGCAUUUGUGACUGCAUAGCUAGAGUACGGUAGAGGGGGAUGGAAUUCCGCGUGUAGCAGUGAAAUGCGUAGAUAUGCGGAGGAACACCGAUGGCGAAGGCAAUCCCCUGGACCUGUACUGACGCUCAUGCACGAAAGCGUGGGGAGCAAA
This 421-nucleotide ribosomal RNA is filed under the name uncultured bacterium. RNAcentral's name for it is "bacterial SSU rRNA". It matches the Rfam family "Bacterial small subunit ribosomal RNA", at positions 359 to 772 of the family's 1533-position model. The record is from RNAcentral.